RNAcentral lists this ribosomal RNA (186 nucleotides) under uncultured Staphylococcus sp. RNAcentral's name for it is "partial 16S ribosomal RNA". It matches the Rfam family "Bacterial small subunit ribosomal RNA", at positions 154 to 334 of the family's 1533-position model. Lineage: Bacteria; Bacillati; Bacillota; Bacilli; Caryophanales; Staphylococcaceae. The record is from RNAcentral.
GAACCGGAGCUAAUACCGGAUAAUAUUUUGAACCGCAUGGUUCAAAAGUGAAAGACGGUCUUGCUGUCACUUAUAGAUGGAUCCGCGCUGCAUUAGCUAGUUGGUAAGGUAACGGCUUACCAAGGCAACGAUGCAUAGCCGACCUGAGAGGGCGAUCGGCCACACUGGAACUGAGACACGGUCCAG